AUACUCUUUUCUACUUAGGGCAUCUGCUACCACAUUGGCUUCUGUCACACCCCCGAACCAGACGGCGGAAACGUCCGGGGGCUGUCGUGACUCAAUUGAAUACCAUAACAUUGAAUAUAUAUGAAACAUAACAACAUUCGUCACCAUUCAUUAAUACAGUACAACCAGUAGCGUUUACAUGUCAUACAUUGUUUAAACAUUACAUUGCCAAAAAUUAAAUUGUUCGGUUCGUACAUAAAUAAACUGCAAGUCGUCACUGAAUAUGAUUUCCUUUGAUUCACUGGUUCCCUGAGAAUACAAGUAUUUUGAAAAACGUCAACAUAUGAAAUGUUGGUGAGUUCAUAAGUAGUGUUUGAAAUCCAAUGUUUGUAUUGUUUGAAAACCACCAGAAAAUCCGAUAUUUUCUGAAAAGAAAAAGCUUUUGAAAACGUUUGUGAAGAUCCAUAGGUAUGCUUGUUUAUUCCUAUACUUUGUAAAAAAAAUGUUCAUUGAAGUUGUAUGCAUUUCGAAUCUGUAUGUAUUGAAAACCCUAGGAAAACCUGAUGUUCUCCUAGUUCCUUGAAUUACAUGAAGUUACAUUGAAACCAUUGCAUAGCGUAUAGUGUCAGUCCCAGGCGACGUUGGAAGGUUCUCGAGCAGGAUUAUUUACUACAAACCCGCGUUACGCAAACGCCCAGUUUGUAGAUAUACUAACGAUUCCCGAAGGCGUCGUCAGUACUAAUCGCGUUAUCCAAUCGCCCGGACUAGGUGUAGUCCCACAUCCGAAGAGAAAGAGGUCACGAAGACCCCGGUGACUCCAUUAACCGGUUGGGGAAAAUAUGCGUGCGAGGGGUCCCCGACCCGCCUCGUAAAAUAUGCAGACUCUUCUAGCAAUACCAAGGACCCUUGGGGACCAGUGGUACAAGCCAUUGAAAGUCACUCUACGUUGUGCCAAGUCGGUGAAACUCAACACUUCGUAGAAAAUAUGUGUCUUCGGGCCUUAAGAUCAGGUCAUUGGGCUAGCUAGGCCCAACAAGCAAGAUUUUACACUUUUGGGGCCCGAAGAUGGUGCGUAGACGUCUGUGCACACUCGUAUGUAUAUGUAUUACCAAACGUUAUUUGUAUGAUUCGUAGUAUCGAAGAGUUAGUAGUUGUAGAUUUCCAUUGGCUCGAGACCGAGCCAAUUCGUUUAACAACGACUUUUGGUAUUGUAAUGAGUUGUAUUUCGUCGAUAGUCGAGGUGUCAUUAUUUGAUCAAAUUGUACAUAUUGAAUUAGCCUUGAAAUAUUUCUGUUUUCAGCCCCUCAUUAUUUGUAAAAUUUACAUUUUCAACCCUUUUAUUGUAAUAUUUCCCGGUUUGGUCCUUAAACUAUUUUUCUUGACAUUUUAACACCAAAAAUUAUUGAAAUUAAUAUUUUCCAGCAUAUUUUUCAUAGAAAACAGUUUAAGUCCCUGAAAAUGCAGUUUUUCUCGGUUUUAGCCCUUCUUUUCGCAAUUUUGACAAUUUUGGCCCAAAUUGGAAAAUUUUUGCAACUUUGGUCCUUUUUAAAUUUAAAAAGCAUUUUAAACCUUUGAAAAGGAUUUGGGACACUUAUAGUCCACUGUUUUACAGAAAUUCACAGUUUUGGCCCUCCAAAACAGAAAAAUUCGCAUAAUGGGCCUCCUUGGGCCGAAAUUUUCAUUUUUAGCCCAAUAAGCUUGAAAUUUAUGUUUUUAAUCCUCUAAUUGAAUAUAAUUCCAGAAAUAGUUUUAUGGAAACUGUUUUGGCACAUUUCAUCCAUCAGAAUCUGUGAAAUGUCAAUUUGGGCCCUUAAUUUUGUAUUUUUCACAUUUUUGGCCCAAAAUGUGUGUUUUUAGCUUAAAGAAAAUUGUUGCUAACCACUUAGCUAUUUUUCUUGUAUCACUUUAUAUGUAGAAAUAUAUUUGAAGCUAAAAUCAUAAAACAUAAGUUAUAUCUCGGUUUUGAGGGGUUUAAUGGCUAGAUCCAACAUUAAAACACAUAUAAGCAUACAUAUAAGCAUGGAAAUCAUACAAGGCAUACAAACACAUAUAGAUCUACACUUUCACUUGUAUUCCCCCCCCCACAAAACUCAUAAAAACAGAAAAUAGGGGUAUGAAUCUCACCUUGGGUGUAGUUUCGGUUUUUGGAAGAAAAGAUGGAAGAAAAAUGAAGUGUUUUUGGCCUUGGCUCCCUUUGAUGAAGAUCUUGAGUUUUGAGAUGGUUCUAGGGUGUAAGAUCACGAUUUUUGCAUAGGUUAGGAAAGGAUUUUGAUAACAAAAGAAUUUAAACCAUAGAUCUAUGCAUGAUCUUACCUUAGAUGAAGAAUUUUGUGGAAGAACCUUCUUGAAUGCUUCCAAAUUUUCGAGAUUUUGGAUGGAGGGGAAGAGAUGUUCUUGAGUGAUCUAGAGAGUGUUUGAGAGAUUUUUGGUGGGUGUAAGUGUGUAUGGCCGAGAGUGAGAGAGGAGAGAAGGGAGAAGUGAUUUUGAAGUGAUGUGCAUGGAGGAAUGGGAAAUAUUGCAUGGAUAUCCUUUGGAUAUUAAUGAGGUGGCAUGCAUUAAGUCAACUCUCCCUUAUCUUCUUGGGUUUGGGCCUUUGGGCCGAGAAUGUGAAGGAAAAAAAAGAUUUUUGGGCCUUUUGGCCCUUAAGCCCAAUAUUAGUGGUAAUUAGGGUGUGUUUUAAGUCUAAGGAGUGUGGUAGGAUUUUUAUGUUUUUCUUGAACUAGUUUUAGGUUAUUCAUGUAUCAAGGCUUUUAAUUUAUUUAAUUCUAGGCCCAACAUGACCUAAAAUGUUAAAAUAAAUAAGUGUGGGUCCAAUUAGAGCCCAAUUAGGGUUCUAAGCCCAUGAUAGUCUAAUUGGAAGCUUAUUGGCCCAUUUGGAUCCAAUAAGGAAGUUCUAGCCUAAAUUAGACUUAACAAGAACUUCUAGGGUCUCCAAUUGUUUGAUGACUAUUUGUAGUUCUAGCAUGUUGUAUUUGAUUGAAGUUUUUGAUUCACAUUAACUUGAAUGUAUAGAUUACAUGGCUCAAAAUUUACAGUUGUGACAUCAUCCCCCCGUUAGAGGGAAUUUCGUCCCGAAAUUCUGUUUGAAAGCUAGAUUUGAGAAUGCUAGAAUAGGUGAGGGUACUUCUGCUUCAUUUGAUCUUCGCGUUCCCACGUGAAUUCUGGCCCACGCUUUGCGUUCCACCGUACCUUCACGAUCGGGAUGCGACUCUGCUUAGUACGCUUCACCUCCCUGUCCAUGAUUUCGAUUGGCUCUUCGACGAACAGGAGAUUCUCAUUGAUUUCGAUUUCGUCAAGAGGAAUGACAAGGGUUUCAUCUGAUAGGCACUUUUUCAGAUUAGAAACAUGAAACACGGGGUGCACACCGUUUAGCUCCGGGGGUAGUUGUAGUCUGUAGGCUACCGGACCUAUUCGGGCGACGAUUUCGAAAGGUCCAAUGUACCGUGGGUUUAGCUUUCCUCGUUUUCCGAAACGUAUAACCCCUUUCCAGGGUGAGACCUUCAACAAUACUCGAUCACCGACCUGGAACUCUAAGGGCUUUCGCCGUUUAUCAGCGUAGCUCUUUUGCCGGUCACGCGAUGCCUGUAAUCGAGCUUUGAUCUGGACAAUCUUUUCUGUGGUCUCGCGAAUGAUUUCCGGUCCUGUCAUUGCCCUAUCCGACGUAUGUGUUCUUGCUAGCUGGGUGUCACCUACUUCAGCCCAACAUAACGGUGAUCUACAUUUACGCCCGUACAGUGCUUCGAAAGGGGCCACCUUAAUGCUCGAAUGAUAACUAUUGUUAUAUGAAAACUCGAUCAACGGUAGGUGGGUAUCCCAAGACUUUCCGAAGUCUAUCACACAUGCACGAAGCAUGUCUUCAAGCGUCUGAAUGGUUCGUUCGCUUUGACCGUCCGUUUGUGGGUGAUACGCGGUGCUCAUAUCAAGAUGAGUUCCCAUGGCCUUGUGGAGCGACUGCCAAAAGCGUGACGUGAACCUACUGUCCCUAUCCGAGAUGAUAGAUUUUGGCACUCCAUGAAGUCUUACAAUCUCUCGUAGGUACAAACGCGUCAGCCUCUCCAUCUUGUAGGACUCUUUGAUUGGCAGGAAAUGGGCAGAUUUCGUCAGUCGGUCGAUUAUUACCCAUAUGGUGUCCAAUCCGUCCGACGUCUUGGGCAGCUUGGUCACGAAGUCCAUAGAAAUCCCCUCCCAUUUCCACUCAGGGAUUGCCGGUUGCUGUAACAAUCCGGAAGGUUUCUGGUAUUCCACUUUUACUUUGGCACACGUAAGGCACUUACUAACAUAAGUUGCGAUUUCCGCCUUCAUGUUAGGCCACCAAUAGUGCUGCUUAAUGUCCAAAUACAUCUUGUCCGAACCAGGAUGAAUGGAGUAUCGUGUCUUGUGGGCUUCCUUCAUAACGAUCUCCCUGAAUCCUCCGAUUUUUGGAACCCAAAUACGGUUCAUGAAGUAGUAUACCCCAUUCUCUUUGACUUCCAGGUUCUUCUCCAUUCCGCGCAAUGCCUCGCUAGUUCUAUUUUCCGCUUUCAUAGCCUCUGCCUGGACUGAUGCAAUUUGAGUGGUCAGAUGAGACUGAAUGGUUAUCGAGUGCGUUUUCGUACGGCGAUUUGUGUAUUCCUUCCGACUUAAUGCGUCAGCUACCACGUUGGCCUUGCCUGGAUGGUACUUGAUCUCGCAUUCGUAGUCGUUUAACAAUUCCACCCAUCUUCGUUGUCUCAUGUUCAGCUCCUUCUGAUUCAAGAUGUGCUGGAGGCUCUUGUGGUCCGUAAAGAUGGUGCACUUUGUACCGUACAGGUAGUGCCUCCAAAUUUUUAGGGCGAAGACCACGGCUCCCAGUUCUAGGUCAUGGGUUGUGUAAUUUACUUCGUGCGUCUUUAGUUGACGGGACGCAUAUGCUAUCACUCUUCCACGUUGCAUGAGAACGCAACCUAAGCCUUGAUUUGACGCGUCACAGUAAACUACAAAAUCUUCCGUUCCUUCAGGUAGAGAUAGUACAGGAGCGCUGCAAAGAGCUUGCUUCAAGGUUCGAAACGCAAUCUCUUGUCGGUCUGUCCACUUGAAUGGCACACUCUUUUGCGUAAGCAAGGUAAGUGGCUUGGCGAUUUUAGAGAAGUUUUGGAUGAAUCUCCUAUAGUAGCCUGCUAGGCCUAAGAACUGACGAAUUUCUGUGGGCGUAGUCGGAGUUGCCCAUCCUUCCACAGCUUUGACCUUAGAGGGAUCCACAUGAAUUCCGUCUUGGCUAACUACGUGGCCUAAGAAAUUCACACUCCGAAGCCAGAACUCGCACUUGGAGAGUUUGGCGUAAAGCUUUUCCGAUCGCAGCGUUUCUAGGACUUGUCGGAGAUGUUGGCCAUGCUCCUCUUUGCUUCGAGAAUAGACGAGGAUGUCAUCGAUAAACACAAUGACGAAGUUGUCCAAGAACGGUCGACAGAUUCGGUUCAUUAGGUCCAUAAAUGCAGCGGGUGCAUUUGUUAGACCGAAGGGCAUUACGACGAAUUCAUAAUGUCCAUAGCGGGUUCGGAAAGCGGUUUUAGGAAUAUCUUCUUCUCGGACCUUGAGUUGAUGGUAUCCGGACCGUAGAUCUAUUUUAGAAAAAUAGCUAGCUCCUUGGAGCUGGUCGAAUAGAUCAUCGAUUCGUGGGAGUGGGUAGCGGUUUUUAACAGUGAGUUUAUUCAACUCUCUGUAAUCGAUGCACAUUCUGAAAGAUCCGUCCUUCUUUUUGACAAAGAGCACCGGAGCUCCCCAUGGCGAGUAGCUAGGUCGGAUAAAUCCCUUGUCCAGAAGCUCACUGAGUUGGCUGGAUAAUUCCUGCAUUUCAGCAGGUGCCAACCGAUAUGGUGAUUUAGCGAGGGGAGUUGCUCCUGGAACGAGGUCGAUUCGGAACUCAACCUGUCUCUCUGGGGGUACUCCUGGAAGAUCUUCGGGAAACACGUCCGGAAAUUCACACGCUACCGGAAUGUCUUGGAUGUUAGUUUCUUCUUUGGUCUUGUCCACUAUGUGGGCCAAGAACGCUAAGUUGUUCUUUCGCAGAUGUUUUUGUGCUUUGAUGCACGAGAUGAGACGAAGAUUCGUACUGGGUUUGUCUCCGUAAAUUACUAGGGUUUCGUGAUUUGGGAGACGAAGGCGAACGGCCUUCUCGUGGCACAUAAUCUCAGCAUGGUGGGGGCUUAACCAAUCCAUGCCGAUAAUCACAUCGAAACUCCUAAUUGAUACUGGCAUUAGGUCUAUUCGAAAGACGUGCUGGUUAAGGGUUAGGGUACAUCCGAUGUAGAUCUCCCUAGUGGAUUCGGUUUUCCCAUUGGCCAUUUCCACCGUAUAGGUUUCAUUUAGCUUCUGGGGUUGUUGUUUUAAUAAAUGUUUAAACUUCUCGCUUACGAAACUUCGCUCCGCUCCGGUAUCAAAUAAGAUGCAUGCAUAAGUGUGGUUUAGGAGGAACGUACCGGUCACAACUGCGGGGUCCUGAACUGCAUCACUCUGACCCAUAGUCAGCAUUCUUCCUGCUCCUCUGUUUCCUGAGUUGUUGUUGUUGUUAGGGCAGUCUCGACGGAAAUGUCCCGUCCUUCCACACCCGAAACAGGUGUGGCUAGGCCCUGCGUUGUUGCCGCCGGCAUUGGUGUUGUUGGUAUUGCGGUGGUUGUUGUUGUUGUUCUGGUUGUUUCCCUGACUCUGGUUCUGAGAAGGAUAAGUCCUGCAGAACUUUGCAGUGUGUCCCCUUCGAUUGCAACUGGUGCAAUGGAACUCCCUACAUUCUCCUUGGUGAUGGAAACCGCACUUGUUGCAUUUGGGAUGAUUGCCGGAAUAGGGUCUUGAAGUAUUUGAAGCAGCUGAGGCUGGAGCAUGUGAUGUGACUGGUACCGGCGCAGUGACAGCGUGAACUGCCACCGUUUGCUGCUUUUUAGAGGUCUCGGGACCUUGACGCCCCUUCCUCUUGUUGUUCCAUCCUUUCUUACCAUCGCUCUCCUUCUUCUUCUCAGUCUCUACCGGUUUCUCGCCCUUUUUGUGGUUAUGAUCAUAUAGCCUCUUUGCCAAUCUCUUCGCACUGUCAAAAGUUUCAGGGUUCGCAGCUAUCACAUUCCCUUGAAUGGGGGAUGUCAGUCCCCAAAUGAAUCGUUCAAUCUUCUUCCCCUCUGAUGUGAUCAUACCCGGGCACAACAGAGAUAGUUCGCUGAAUCUCGAUAUGUAAGCAUCGAUGUUCCCAUUCUGCACCGUGAGAUUCCAUAGUUCCUGCUCCAUCUUCUGUAUUUCGCCUCGGGGGCAGUACUCAGCCGUCAACAUCUCUUUCAUCUCUGCCCAGGGAAUAGAGUUGGCGACAGGGAGUGUCAUAGCUUCCACAUGACCAUUCCACCAAGUGAGUGCUUGGUCCACAAAAGUGCAGGCCGCGAACUUCACUUUCAUCUGCUCGGGGCACUCGCAUAUCUCGAAUACCGACUCUACCUUCUCGAUCCAUCGCUUUAGGGCGAUCACUCCUCCGGUACCGUUGAAAGUUCGGGGUUUAGCGUUCGCAAAAUCCUUGUAGGUGCACGUUUUAGUGAGCCCUUGGUUCGUCCCGUUGUUCGAACUUCCGGAGCCUUGACCAUUGCCUCCUCCAUUGUUUCCUCGGUGAAGUUGUGCCAUAGCUGCCGUGACCGCAGCAGACACGGCUGCCUGGAAAGCAGUGGAGUCAACUUCCGGCGGGGUUGGUUCGGGAUUUCCGCGAGUAGCUGGGCGAGGCAUCUUUCUGUCAUGAAACGGAAAGAUGUUGAGUGUACGUGGUUUCGGUGAGGUUAUGAUCCUACUAACUAGGUGUAGGGUACGAACCUAAGCAUUACUAUCAUCAAGCAUACAAUCAUAACACCUCAACACAUAACAACUGAGAAUAUCAUAGCAAAACACACAAAAGUUUAUUAAUAUUAUCCGUGUUUAGUACAAGAAAAUUUGCUCGUAGGAGCAUACAUAAGUAACACUAAUCCGACAGCAUAACGGCUCCAUGAGUAGUGUAGUCACUUAAACAUAGAGCCGGAGUACAUAACAUAGUUACUAAUAUCCUACUACGAUAGGUCUAUCCCUAACCGCGAUGAGCUGCGUCAGGAGGUGGUGCCGAAGUCAUAUGCCGAAAUGUUGCGCCAGUAGCUGCGCCAUCUCUGCCAUGUCUCCUAUAACUUCAUCCCUCUCGUGCUCUGCUCUCACUGCCCGAGCUUCCAUAGCAUACAGCUGUUGUCGCAGUGCGGCGAUCUCAGCUUCGAGGGAACGGUUCUCCCUUGGGGGGUUCACUGGUGGAGCGGGGUGAUCUGGUUGUGCCUCGUCCUCGCAUGGUGGGAUGGGGUCCUGGCCCCCGACCUGACCCUCCUCGUCGUCAUCGUCGACCUCUCCAAAUUCGUAGUCGGUGUCUAUAUAUUCGUCGGGUUCGACGUCGUGUGCUUCUCCUGGAUUCUCUCCUGGCUCAUCCACCAGCAUCCCGUGAGCUACUAAGGCCUGAUGAAACUGGAUACCCGGCUGCUCCUCCUCAGGCUCCUCCUCCUCCUCUAGCCACCCGUUGUUUCCCUGAUUAGGGAAGUAGGGGUCUCCAGGGUGAUGAAAACCAGCCAUGCUGUCUGCGCGAGUACGUAAUUAUGCUACAUUAUUCCUAGGGUACUAUGACUAUUGCACAGACUAAGCAAACAUUCUCUUUUUGGGUGAUAAAGGGUAUAGUUUUAGGUUCCCUGGCUAUCCCGAUCUCAUCAAGACGUGUGUUAGUUUUACCUUGGAGAGAAUGUAGUUGAUCAGGCUACAUUCACUCCUUGGUAUCACUAAGAACAGUCCCGAAUUAACCGAGAUACCAGCAUUAUUGUGUUUGAUUCGGCGUUAGGUCCUUAUCCCUAAUGCAAGCAAGUGUGUUUUAUUUACUUGUUUUGUUCAGAGUUAUGUUAGUCCCUCUUUUUGGUUUAUAGUUGCAUAUCAAUGUAUGGCUCGACAUGCUAGUUCACUAUAAACAAAGCUCUGAUACCAACCUGUCACACCCCCGAACCAGACGGCGGAAACGUCCGGGGGCUGUCGUGACUCAAUUGAAUACCAUAACAUUGAAUAUAUAUGAAACAUAACAACAUUCGUCACCAUUCAUCAACAUAGUACAACCAGUAGUGUUUACAUAUCAUACAUUGUUUAAACAUUACAUUCCCCAAAAAUUAAUUUGUUCAAUUCAUACAAAAAUAAACUGCAACCGUCACUGAAUAUGAUUUCCCUUGAUUCACUGGUUCCCUGAGAAUACAAGUAUUUUGAAAAACGUCAACAUAUGAAAUGUUGGUGAGUUCAUAAGUAGUGUUUGAAAUCGAAUGUUUGUAUUGUUUGAAAAACCACCAGAAAAUCCGAUAUUUUCUGAAAAGAAAAGCUUUUGAAAACGUUUGUGAAGAUCCAUAGGUAUGCUUGUUUGUUUCUAUACUUGUAAAAAAAAAUGUUCAUUGAAGUUGUAUGCAUUUCAAAUCUGUAUGUAUUGAAAACCCUAGGAAAACCCGAUGUUCUCCUAGUUCCUUGAAUUACAUGAAGUUACAUUGAAACCAUUGCAUAGCGUAUAGUGUCAGUCCCAGGCGACGUUGGAAGGUUCUCGAGCAUGAUUAAUUACUACAAACCCGCAUUACACAAACGCCCAGUUUAUAGUUAUACUAACGAUCCCGAAGGCGUCGUCCGUACUAAUCACGUUAUCCAAUCGCCCUGACUAGGUGUAGUCCCACAUCCGAAGAGAAAGAGGUCACGAAGACCCCGGUGACUCCAUUAACCGGUUGGGGAUAAAAAUGUACGAGGGGUCCCCGACCCGCCUCGCAUAAAAUGUAGACUUUACUAGCUAUACCAAAGGACCCUUGGGGACCAGUAGUAUACAAGCCAUUGAAAGUCCAUUUACGUUGUGUCGGAUCGGUAAAACCCAACACUCCGUAAAAAAAAUGUCUUCGGGCCUUAAGAUCAGGUCAUUGGGCUAGCUAGGCUCAACGAACAAGAUUUUACACUUGUG
This 9931-nucleotide long non-coding RNA is filed under the name Lactuca sativa (garden lettuce). RNAcentral describes it as "long non-coding RNA (LSAT_LNC005908)". Lineage: Eukaryota; Viridiplantae; Streptophyta; Magnoliopsida; Asterales; Asteraceae. The record is from RNAcentral.